Molecule: ribosomal RNA, 419 nt
Filed under: uncultured fungus
Lineage: Eukaryota; Fungi
Description: eukaryotic LSU rRNA
Rfam family: 5.8S ribosomal RNA (bases 1-125)
Source: RNAcentral
GCAUCGAUGAAGAACGCAGCGAAACGCGAUAGGUAAUGUGAAUUGCAGAAUUCCGUGAAUCAUCGAAUCUUUGAACGCACCUUGCGCUCCAUGGCAUUCCGUGGAGCAUGCCUGUUUGAGUGCCGCGAAAUCUCCCACCCCUAGCGGUUGCCGCAAGGCGCCGCCGGGCGGCGGGGUUGGUUGGGUGCCGCUGCCUGGGCUUUGGCCCAGGCUCGCCCGAAAUGCAUGAGCGCUUAGCACUCGCACCGUCUCGAGGGAAGGCGGCGGAGCUGGCAUCUGCGCAUGGCAUGAUACGUCAUUUGCUGUGUGGCAGCCCAGCGACCCGAGAGUGUGUGUGCGCUACUACACGCCCUUUCAUUUCUGGUCUCAAAUCAGGUAGGAUCACCCGCUGAACUUAAGCAUAUCAAUAAGCGGAGGAA